Molecule: long non-coding RNA, 304 nt
Organism: Lolium rigidum
Lineage: Eukaryota; Viridiplantae; Streptophyta; Magnoliopsida; Poales; Poaceae
Exons: 4
Source: RefSeq, a predicted model, not a curated record
UGCCGAGGAUGACAUCUUAGAAUCUGUUGCUGAGGAGAUCAUGGUUAAUUUGUAGUCAGGCCUUGAAGCUUUUCAAGCAGGAGCUUCUGGCAGCAGGGGCACUCCAAGGAGGUAGGAGAAAGGAGAAACAAGAGAGAGAAAAUAGUCAUUAGUUCGUCAAUGGAGGAAAGGAGCAGUAGCUCCAUUUUCCUUCUCCCACCGCAUGUCCUGAGAAAAGAAGGUCCUUUGUCUAUCCUGGAGUAAAAGUUCCGAAGCCCAAAAGGGACACAGAUAAAGAAGAGACUGUUCUGAAGGAGACUAAGCC